AAGUUUUCGGAUCGUAAAACUCUGUUGUUAGAGAAGAACAAGGAUGAGAGUAAAACGUUCAUCCCUUGACGGUAUCUAACCAGAAAGCCACGGCUAACUACGUGCCAGCAGCCGCGGUAAUACGUAGGUGGCAAGCGUUGUCCGGAUUUAUUGGGCGUAAAGCGAGCGCAGGCGGUUUCUUAAGUCUGAUGUGAAAGCCCCCGGCUCAACCGGGGAGGGUCAUUGGAAACUGGGAGACUUGAGUGCAGAAGAGGAGAGUGGAAUUCCAUGUGUAGCGGUGAAAUGCGUAGAUAUAUGGAGGAACACCAGUGGCGAAGGCGGCUCUCUGGUCUGUAACUGACGCUGAGGCUCGAAAGCGUGGGGAGCGAACAGGAUUAGAUACCCUGGUAGUCCACGCCGUAAACGAUGAGUGCUAAGUGUUGGAGGGUUUCCGCCCUUCAGUGCUGCAGCAAACGCAUUAAGCACUCCGCCUGGGGAGUACGACCGCAAGGUUGAAACUCAAAGGAAUUGACGGGGGCCCGCACAAGCGGUGGAGCAUGUGGUUUAAUUCGAAGCAACGCGAAGAACCUUACCAGGUCUUGACAUCCUUUGACCACUCUAGAGAUAGAGCUUCCCCUUCGGGGGCAAAGUGACAGGUGGUGCAUGGUUGUCGUCAGCUCGUGUCGUGAGAUGUUGGGUUAAGUCCCGCAACGAGCGCAACCCUUAUUGUUAGUUGCCAUCAUUUAGUUGGGCACUCUAGCGAGACUGCCGGUGACAAACCGGAGGAAGGUGGGGAUGACGUCAAAUCAUCAUGCCCCUUA
Molecule: ribosomal RNA, 800 nt
Filed under: Enterococcus sp.
Lineage: Bacteria; Bacillati; Bacillota; Bacilli; Lactobacillales; Enterococcaceae
Description: bacterial SSU rRNA
Rfam family: Bacterial small subunit ribosomal RNA
Source: RNAcentral